AUACGGAGGGUGCAAGCGUUAAUCGGAAUUACUGGGCGUAAAGCGUACGUAGGCGGUUAUUUAAGUCAGAUGUGAAAGCCCCGGGCUUAACUUGGGAACUGCAUUUGAAACUGGGUAACUAGAGUUUAGUAGAGGGGAGUGGAAUUUCAGGUGUAGCGGUGAAAUGCGUAGAGAUCUGAAGGAACACCAGUGGUGAAGGCGACUCCCUGGACUAGAACUGACGCUGAGGUACGAAAGCGUGGGUAGCGAACAGGAUUAGAAACCCCAGUAGUCC
Molecule: ribosomal RNA, 274 nt
Filed under: uncultured bacterium
Lineage: Bacteria
Description: partial 16S ribosomal RNA
Rfam family: Bacterial small subunit ribosomal RNA
Source: RNAcentral